Molecule: ribosomal RNA, 397 nt
Filed under: uncultured bacterium
Lineage: Bacteria
Description: partial 16S ribosomal RNA
Rfam family: Bacterial small subunit ribosomal RNA
Source: RNAcentral
AUACGUAGGGGGCGAGCGUUGUCCGGAAUGAUUGGGCGUAAAGGGCGCGUAGGCGGCCCGGUAAGUCUGGUGUGAAAGUCCUGUUUUUAAGAUGGGAAUUGCUUUGGAUACUGUCGGGCUUGAGUGCAGGAGCGGGUAGUGGAAUUACCAUUGUAGGGGUGAAACGCGUAGAGAUUGGGAGGAACACCAGUGGCGAAGGCGACUUACUGGACUGUAACUGACGCUGAGGCGCGAAAGUGUGGGGAGCAAACAGGAUUAGAUACCCUGGUAGUCCACACUGUAAACGAUGAAUGCUAGGUGUAGGGGGUAUCGACCCCUUCUGUGCCGCAGUCAACACAAUAAGCAUUCCGCCUGGGGAGUACGGCCGCAAGGUUGAAACUCAAAGGAAUUGACGGGG